GAAAUGCGAUAAGUAAUGUGAAUUGCAGAAUUCAGUGAAUCAUCGAAUCUUUGAACGCACCUUGCGCUCCUUGGUAUUCCUUGGAGCAUGCCUGUUUGAGUAUCAUGAAAUCUUCAAAGUAAAUCUUUUGUUAACUCAAUUGGUUCUGCUUUGGUAUUGGAGGUUAUUGCAGCUUCACACCUGCUCCUCUUUUUGCAUUAGCUGGAUCUCAGUGUUAUGCUUGUUUCCACUCAGCGUGAUAAGUUAUCUAUCACUGAGGACACAGUAAAAAGGUGGCCAAGGUAAUUGCAGAUGAACCGCAUCUAAUAGUCCAUUAAUUUGGACAAAAUUUUUAUGAUCUGAUCUCAAAUCAGGUAGGACUACUCGCUGAACUUAA
This 376-nucleotide unclassified non-coding RNA is filed under the name uncultured Ceratobasidiaceae. Its description in RNAcentral is "sequence contains ITS1". The stretch from base 1 to 105 matches the Rfam family "5.8S ribosomal RNA", at positions 50 to 154 of the family's 154-position model. Lineage: Eukaryota; Fungi; Basidiomycota; Agaricomycetes; Cantharellales; Ceratobasidiaceae. The record is from RNAcentral.